AUGAGCCCCCUAAUUAUAACCACCUUACUUCUAAGCCUGGGCCUAGGGACAACCAUUACAUUUGCAAGUUCCCACUGACUAUUCGCGUGAAUAGGCCUGGAAAUUAAUACCCUCGCCAUCCUUCCACUAAUAGCCCAACACCACCACCCCCGGGCAGUAGAAGCCACCACAAAAUACUUCCUCACCCAAGCCACCGCUGCAGCCAUAAUCCUAUUUGCAAGCACCACCAACGCCUGGCUCACAGGACAAUGGAACAUUUUUCAACUGACCCACCCCCUGCCACUCACCCUUCUGACCAUGGCCCUUGCCCUAAAGAUUGGUCUAGCACCACUACACACUUGACUACCUGAAGUCCUACAAGGGUUGAAUCUCACUACCGGCCUCAUCCUAUCCACCUGGCAGAAACUAGCCCCCUUUGCCCUCCUCUUGCAGACCCAGCCCAUAAACUCAACCACUCUUAUUUUGCUAGGGCUAGUCUCCACACUUGUAGGAGGCUGGGGAGGACUAAAUCAAACACAACUUCGCAAAGUCCUUGCCUAUUCAUCCAUCGCCCACCUUGGAUGAAUAAUCCUAGUUCUUCAAUUCACCCCCUCACUGACACUCCUCACUCUGAUUACGUACUUCCUAAUAACAUUUUCAACAUUUGUUGUUUUUAAACUAAACAAUGUAACAACAAUAAAUGCUCUGUCAACCUCCUGAACGAAAUCUCCAACUAUAACCGCCCUAACCCCCUUAAUUCUACUCUCCCUAGGAGGGCUACCCCCCUGACAGGAUUUAUACCAAAAUGACUCAUCCUUCAAGAACUAACUAAGCAAGACCUAGGGCUAACAGCCACACUAGCAGCCCUUAGCGCCCUUCUUAGCCUAGUAUUUUACCUCCGCCUAUCCUACUCCAUAACCCUCACCAUGUCCCCCAACAACCUCCCAGGGACAACCCCCUGACGCCUUAACAGCCCUCAAAAGACUCUCCCCCUUGCCCUCUCAACUGCCGCCACUAUAAUACUCCUACCCUUAACACCAGCACUAACAACACUGUUCACAACUUA
Molecule: non-coding RNA, 1045 nt
Organism: Xyrichtys novacula (pearly razorfish)
Lineage: Eukaryota; Metazoa; Chordata; Actinopteri; Labriformes; Labridae
Source: the annotation of a GenBank genome assembly